RNAcentral lists this transfer RNA (71 nucleotides) under Cobelura sp. KM-2017. RNAcentral's name for it is "tRNA-Lys". Lineage: Eukaryota; Metazoa; Arthropoda; Insecta; Coleoptera; Cerambycidae. The record is from RNAcentral.
CAUUAAAUAGCUAAAAGUUAGCAAUGGAAUUUUAAACCAUAUUAUAGUAAAUUAACAUCUACUUUUAAUGG